This is a long non-coding RNA of Melanotaenia boesemani (Boeseman's rainbowfish), 265 nucleotides long. RefSeq lists it as uncharacterized. The transcript is spliced from 2 exons. NCBI's taxonomy places the organism in Eukaryota, Metazoa, Chordata, Actinopteri, Atheriniformes, Melanotaeniidae. The record is from RefSeq and is a predicted model, not a curated record.
UGUCACCUGUUUGGAGCAGUUUGGAAACUGCGCGGCUUUCAAAAAUCAGAUGGUAAACCUGUCCGGCAUGGAAAGCAGAUUAUGAAGUUAAUCUCGGCCAUGAUGCUUCCACACCGAUUGGCCAUUAUCAAGUGUCCUGCUCAUCAAAAAGACAACUCCAACACCACGAUGGGAAACAAUGCGGCAGACGAAGCUGCAAAGCGCGCUUCAGGUUGCAAGAGUGUCACAAACCAGACCACUGUGGGCGAGAUGAGGUGAUGCAUCG